UUUCAGUUGUGCGAGAUAACACACAAAAGAAUUUUAUUUUAUCGGUAUAAUUUACUCACAAACACGCAUAUAUAGUGAUGAAACAAAUGCCACACGUCAUUUGAAAAUAUUUAAAGAUGAGAUCGCAGACUGUUGUUGCUUCUUUCUUGACCAUUAUUUUUGCCCUUGCUCUCAUUUCCUCUAUGAUGACAGUUGCUCAAGCAAGAGUAGGAGUCACACCGCCACCACCCCAACAACACCACCGCAGCCUCCGAGGCCAGUAUGGCAGCUGGAGGUGUUGGGACGAUACCCAAUGCCACAAGAAAAAAGGAGGACCACCACCGCCACCUUGUUGUCGGCAAUAAAGGACGAUUGGGCUUAAUCAGAACUCAAAUGAUGGAAUGCAUGUAGCACAACACAAAUAAAUAUGUUCGUUCUACCAUAUAAUAAACCUAUAUAUUUGAUCUUUUACGCAUCUUAUAUUCCAUGUAUCACCACAACUUGUUGGUUUGAAAUAGACAUAUUUUAAUGUUUGUUUUAUGUAUGUAUGCAUCUCAUAUUUCAUGUAAAAUAUAUACUCGUUAUGUUUGUUUUAUGUUGAAACUGGAGUUUAUAAUUCAUAUUA
Long non-coding RNA from Helianthus annuus (common sunflower), 604 nucleotides. RefSeq lists it as uncharacterized. Lineage: Eukaryota; Viridiplantae; Streptophyta; Magnoliopsida; Asterales; Asteraceae. The record is from RefSeq and is a predicted model, not a curated record. The transcript has 2 exons.